RNAcentral lists this ribosomal RNA (507 nucleotides) under uncultured bacterium. Its description in RNAcentral is "bacterial SSU rRNA". It matches the Rfam family "Bacterial small subunit ribosomal RNA", at positions 26 to 518 of the family's 1533-position model. The record is from RNAcentral.
CGAGGACGAACGCUGGCGGCGUGCCUAACACAUGCAAGUCGAGCGGGGACAUGCGACGGAUCGGAAGUUUCGGAUGGAAGAGAAGAUGUAUGUUCUAGCGGCGGACGGGUGAGUAACGCGUGAGCAACCUGUCCUUCACAGGGGGAUAACACAGCGAAAGUUGUACUAAUACCGCAUAAGACCACACUGAGACAUCUCAGAGGGGUCAAAGGAGCAAUCCGGUGAAGGGUGGGCUCGCGUCCGAUUAGAUAGUUGGUGAGGUAACGGCCCACCAAGUCGACGAUCGGUAGCCGACCUGAGAGGGUGAUCGGCCACAUUGGGACUGAGACACGGCCCAAACUCCUACGGGAGGCAGCAGUGGGGAAUAUUGGGCAAAUGGGGGAAACCCUGACCCAGCAACGCCGCGUGAGGGAAGAAGGUUUUCGGAUCGUAAACCUCUGUCCUUGGUGAAGAGGAAGAGACGGUAGCCAAGGAGGAAGCCCCGGCCAACUACGUGCCAGCCGCGGC